This is a long non-coding RNA of Cucumis melo (muskmelon), 860 nucleotides long. RefSeq lists it as uncharacterized. The record is from RefSeq and is a predicted model, not a curated record. The transcript is spliced from 5 exons. Lineage: Eukaryota; Viridiplantae; Streptophyta; Magnoliopsida; Cucurbitales; Cucurbitaceae.
UCAAGGAGGCUCAAAGAAUUUGAGAAUGAACAAGGCUCCGUUAGGCGCGAAGCGAAAGGACUGUGCAGGAGCGAAGCAGAAUCCAGCUACGAAGGACAGGAGCGAAAGCGGCUCGACUGAGGUUAGGAAGGAGAGGAGCGAAGGUACUCUACGAAAAAAAUAUAGGUUCAGAGCGAAGCAGAAUCAAGCUACGAAGGACAGGAGCGAAGGUACUCGUAGUUUCAGAUAUAGGUUCAGAGCGAAGCAGAAUCAAGCUACGAAGGACAGGAGCGAAGCCACUCGACUGAGGUUAGGAAGGUUCAGAGCGAAGGUACUCGUAGUUUUCAAUAUAGGUUCAGAGCGAAGGUACUCGACUGAGGUUAGGAAGGUUCAGAGCGAAGGUACUCGUAGUUUUCAAUAUAGGUUCAGAGCGAAGGUACUCGACUGAGGUUAGGAAGGUUCAGAGCGAAGGUACUCGUAGUUUUCAAUAUAGGUUCAGAGCGAAGGUACUCGUAGUUUUCAAUAUAGGAGAGGAGCGAAGGUACUCGACUGAGGUUAGGAAGGUUCAGAGCGAAGCCACUCGACUGAGGUUAGGAAGGUUCAGAGCGAAGGUACUCGUAGUUUUCAAUAUAGGUUCAGAGCGAAGGUACUCGACUGAGGUUAGGAAGGUUCAGAGCGAAGGUACUCGUAGUUUUCAAUAUAGGUUCAGAGCGAAGGUACUCGACUGAGGUUAGGAAGGUUCAGAGCGAAGGUACUCGUAGUUUUCAAUAUAGGUUCAGAGCGAAGGUACUCGACUGAGGUUAGGAAGGUUCAGAGCGAAGGUACUCGUAGUUUUCAAUAUAGGUUCAGAGCGAAGGUACUCGUAGUUUUCAAUAUAGGAG